GUAAACAUUCAUGGAGGCUUCUUGUGUACUAGGCAUGGCCAGGAGCUUGAAAUGCAGACAUUAGGCAUGAUCACUGCUAAGUCAUCAUCUGGCCUGCAGGGACAUUCAUCAAUGGGACUGAGUUCAACUGUCCAUCUGUAUUAUUGAACUAGUUAACCAGUCUCUGGAAACAGUGGGUGUCAGUGGGAAACUGGAUCAUUGUUCAGCACACAUCCACUCCUGUGGGAGGAAUAUAUUCUCUGCCCUACUGAUGUUGCGCUUAAUAUGAGAUUUGCUUUAGCCAAUGAAAUGUGAAUGGACAAGAGCAGAUAUAGCUGAGCCUGAGUGAGUCGCUUCACAGAUAAGGCUACGCCUGCCUUUUGGAAGCCAGCCAUGAUAGGAGAGGAGGCCACAACAAGACAGAACACAGAGACUCAGCCAGGAAAUCCCAUCCUAUUUGAGAAGGAGCUCAACUUUGGAUCUUACAAGAAAGGGGUGAGCAUUAGGAAGCAGAAGCUGGGGAACUGUGAUGUAGCAAGCUACAAUCCCUGCAGCAAAGGACAGACUAUCUUCCUCCUGUAAACACCAUUCAACAUCUGGAAUGUCUGGACCCUUUCUUUCCUCCAUGCCCUGCCUGGUGAGAAACUCCUCUGCCUGGAAUGGCUUUUCUCCCCCUACCCUUUAGGGCCCAGUUAAAAUGUCACCUCCUUGGAAGCCUCCUGAAUCACUGCCUCACUCCCCAAGUAGGCAGAGUGAGGCACAGCCCUCUUUGUUCCGACCUUUAUCAGAGCAGUUCUCACAUGGUAGAUUAAUAAUUUACACGUUUGUUGCAUGCUCCACACCAUGAGCUACUGUAAGGCCAAGAAUUCCAGCUAUUAUUCAUGCAUAUAUCUCCAGGCCCAGCAUCAGCCCUGGCACAGACU
Long non-coding RNA from Rhinopithecus roxellana (golden snub-nosed monkey), 902 nucleotides. RefSeq lists it as uncharacterized. The transcript has 3 exons. NCBI's taxonomy places the organism in Eukaryota, Metazoa, Chordata, Mammalia, Primates, Cercopithecidae. The record is from RefSeq and is a predicted model, not a curated record.